CAAAAAGAGGCUGUGGAUUUUAUCCGUUCGCAACUUGCUACCACGUUUCAGUUAGUGCAGAAACUGCAAGAGCAGAGUGACCUCGAGGUAAAUCGAUUUAACUACUGUCUUGUAAGUUUUGUCCACUCACUGACAGUGAGCAAUGGGCUUUGCAGAAGGUUCUGAAAUCUGAGGUGUUGACUGGAGCAGGUCCUUGUGAGGAACCUUGUGCAGGAUCUCCAGAAUCGCAACAAGU
Molecule: RNA transcript, 235 nt
Organism: Rhincodon typus (whale shark)
Lineage: Eukaryota; Metazoa; Chordata; Chondrichthyes; Orectolobiformes; Rhincodontidae
Exons: 3
Source: RefSeq, a predicted model, not a curated record